This is a long non-coding RNA of Teleopsis dalmanni, 293 nucleotides long. RefSeq lists it as uncharacterized. Lineage: Eukaryota; Metazoa; Arthropoda; Insecta; Diptera; Diopsidae. The transcript is spliced from 3 exons. The record is from RefSeq and is a predicted model, not a curated record.
AUUUGAUAGAUCAUUAAUGAAAAACAUAAUAAAUGCUAUUAUUUUUCUGUGAAAAUAUUACAAGAAACGUGAACUACUAUAUUUGAGAAGUCACUACAAUAUCGUAACUAUAAUACAAGAAAUAAAUUUGAACAAAGCCACUAUCAAAAUCACAGCUAAAUGAAGUGAGUUAUGAAACAAGGUUCGAGAAGCGGCUCUUUAUAACAAUGAAAGUGGUGGCAUAGGUACACUUGCCGACUGUGUCAUGUCAUUACGAAUUGUUUCAAACCGUUUAGCGCUUGCUGCUGAUGGAG